GAGUUUCACUCUGGCUGCCUUCUCCUGAGAGUCGGAGCCACAGGCAGAGCCCUGCCCAGGCCGAGCCGGAGCUGCAGCCCCAGCGCGGUGGUGCCCUCAGCCCCGUCCCCUUGUCCUCCUCAGCCUCGGUGCCUUGGAAUUUGUGUCGCUGAGUCAGCAAGCCUUUCAGAUUUGCCGGGUUUUUGUUGUUUGUGGUUUGUAUCAAGAUGGGAACUCAAACAAGUCAUUCCUCCUAAGGAGCUGGUGUCUUCAUCCAGAAGGGACAGUUUGCGCCAGCUCUCCAGAGAGAAAAGGCUGUUUUGCAGAGCUGUGAGAGUUGGUUCAUCCGGGCCAUGAGGACAUGUUGGGACAUACCCCGUGUGCCGAUGAUGGAGGCGGCCCUGGCUGCCCGAGAGAUGCGUGACACCCAGGAGUAAUUGGCUUGGAAGGCAGUCCUCUGAUUUGUACCUCAUUGUGGUUACAGAAACUUCUAAUUGAAGACACUGAGCUGAACUAUUCCGCCCGCCCGCCCGCCCGAGGGCACUCCAGAUCUGCCAGAGGCACUAGGCAAUGACC
This 555-nucleotide small RNA is filed under the name Pongo abelii (Sumatran orangutan). Its description in RNAcentral is "processed transcript". The record is from RNAcentral. Lineage: Eukaryota; Metazoa; Chordata; Mammalia; Primates; Hominidae.